AAUACGGAGGGUGCAAGCGUUAUCCGGAAUCAUUGGGUUUAAAGGGUCCGUAGGCGGACUAUUAAGUCAGAGGUGAAAUCCCACAGCUCAACUGUGGAACUGCCUUUGAUACUGGUAGUCUUGAGUUAUAUGGAAGUAGAUAGAAUGUGUAGUGUAGCGGUGAAAUGCAUAGAUAUUACACAGAAUACCGAUUGCGAAGGCAGUCUACUACGUAUAUACUGACGCUAAGGGACGAAAGCGUGGGGAGCGAACAGGAUUAGAAACCCUAGUAGUCC
Molecule: ribosomal RNA, 275 nt
Filed under: uncultured bacterium
Lineage: Bacteria
Description: partial 16S ribosomal RNA
Rfam family: Bacterial small subunit ribosomal RNA
Source: RNAcentral